This is a long non-coding RNA of Homo sapiens (human), 851 nucleotides long. NCBI's taxonomy places the organism in Eukaryota, Metazoa, Chordata, Mammalia, Primates, Hominidae. The record is from Ensembl.
UACAAGAAUGAAUUGGAGUGGCAUGAAGCAUGAGAUAAGCAGACCACUUACAAGACUGUUGCAGUUGUAAAGCAUAGGAUGACAGGACUGGAUUAAGGUUCUUGAGGAUACAAUCAACCAAGGUACACUUUAAAUUAAAGCAGAUAUAUGGAUAAAACAGGAAAAAUACAAGGAUAUUCAAUAUCAACAUUUCCAUUAAGAAUUGUACUGGGGCAUCUGGCCAACAGAAUUCAGAGCCCCAGCCUGUUCAUAAAAAAAAUCAGAUGAAUUUUGUCUGCGGAACAUUCUGCAAAAAUAUCUGACCAGUAAGUAAUCCUCUAAAUAGCCACAGCCAUCAACAGCAAGGAAAGUCUGAGAAAGUGUCACAGCCAAGAGGACCCUAUAAAGACAUGAUGACUAAAUGUAACAUGGUGUCUUCCAUGGGAUCCUGAAACAGAAAAAGGACAUUAGUCCUAGCUACUCCGGAGGCUGAGGCAGGAGGAUCACCUGAGCCCAGGACUUUGAGGCCGCUGUAAGCUAUGAUCAUGCCACUGCACUCCAGCUCAGGCAACAGUGAGACCCGGUCUCAACAAACAAAAGAAAAUAAAAGAAUGGUAGACAAGGAAAGCAGUUGAACAGCUAUGCGAGAAGCCUACUUUCUCUUCAUGUAACACGUUGGCCUAAGAGAUCUAUAGAGCUUUUUAAAAACAAAGAAGGCAGCAAGAUUUAAAAUAAUAAAACCAGCAAUAGGUAUUUUUAAAAGUGAGAGAAACUAUCAGAGAGCUGUAGCAGAAAAGCAAGUUAAAAAUAAAGGAAACAGAAAAGGAACUGAUACAGCUGAUUUGAUACUGGAAAAAUCACCCAGGAGGCAG